Molecule: ribosomal RNA, 253 nt
Filed under: uncultured bacterium
Lineage: Bacteria
Description: partial 16S ribosomal RNA
Rfam family: Bacterial small subunit ribosomal RNA
Source: RNAcentral
UACGGAGGGUGCAAGCGUUAUCCGGAUUUACUGGGUUUAAAGGGUGCGCAGGCGGAUAUGUAAGUCAGUGGUGAAAUCUCUAGGCUUAACCUGGAAAUUGCCAUUGAUACUAUAUGUCUUGAAUGCUGUGGAGGUAAGCGGAAUAUGUCAUGUAGCGGUGAAAUGCUUAGAUAUGACAUAGAACACCUAUUGCGAAGGCAGCUUACUACGCAGAUAUUGACGCUGAGGCACGAAAGCGUGGGGAUCAAACAGG